GACGAACGCUGGCGGCGUGGAUUAGGCAUGCAAGUCGGACGGUAGGGCUUUAUCGUAAGAUAGAGUUUGAGAGUGGCGAACGGGUGAGUAACACGUAGGAAUCUACCCUUAAGACGGGGACAACCCAGGGAAACUUGGGCUAAUACCGGAUGAGAGUGCGAGAGAUUGCAUUUAAAAGGAUGGCGAAAGUUGUCGCUUAGGGAUGAGCCUGCGGUCUAUUAGUUAGUUGGUGAGGUAAGAGCUCACCAAGGCGAUGAUAGAUAGGCGGCCUUAACGGGUGGUCGCCCACACUGGGAUUGAGAUACGGCCCAGACUCCUACGGGAGGCAGCAGUGGGGAAUUUUGGACAAUGGGGGAAACCCUGAUCCAGCCAUGCCGCGUGCAGGAUGAAGGCCUUCGGGUUGUAAACUGCUUUUGUACGGAACGAAAAGGUCCUUUCUAAUAAAGAGGGCUCAUGACGGUACCGUAAGAAUAAGCACCGGCUAACUACGUGCCAGCAGCCGCGGUAAGCACGAGAGUA
This 519-nucleotide ribosomal RNA is filed under the name uncultured bacterium. RNAcentral describes it as "bacterial SSU rRNA". It matches the Rfam family "Bacterial small subunit ribosomal RNA", at positions 28 to 534 of the family's 1533-position model. The record is from RNAcentral.